Molecule: transfer RNA, 75 nt
Filed under: Methanohalobium evestigatum Z-7303
Lineage: Archaea; Methanobacteriati; Methanobacteriota; Methanomicrobia; Methanosarcinales; Methanosarcinaceae
Description: tRNA-Pro (CGG) (tRNA-Pro-CGG-1-1)
Source: RNAcentral
GGGACCAUGAGGUAGCCUGGACUAUCCUUCGGCGUUCGGGACGCCGAUACCUGAGUUCGAAUCUCAGUGGUCCCA